AACGAACGCUGGCGGCAUGCCUAACACAUGCCAGUCGAACGAGACCUUCGGGUCUAGUGGCGCACGGGUGCGUAACGCGUGGGAAUCUGCCCUUGGGUUCGGAAUAACAGUUGGAAACGACUGCUAAUACCGGAUGAUGACGUAAGUCCAAAGAUUUAUCGCCCAAGGAUGAGCCCGCGUAGGAUUAGCUAGUUGGUGAGGUAAAGGCUCACCAAGGCGACGAUCCUUAGCUGGUCUGAGAGGAUGAUCAGCCACACUGGGACUGAGACACGGCCCAGACUCCUACGGGAGGCAGCAGUGGGGAAUAUUGGACAAUGGGCGAAAGCCUGAUCCAGCAAUGCAGCGUGAGUGAUGAAGGCCUUAGGGUUGUAAAGCUCUUUUACCCGGGAUGAUAAUGACAGUACCGGGAGAAUAAGCUCCGGCUAACUCCGUG
Molecule: ribosomal RNA, 433 nt
Filed under: uncultured bacterium
Lineage: Bacteria
Description: partial 16S ribosomal RNA
Rfam family: Bacterial small subunit ribosomal RNA
Source: RNAcentral